RNAcentral lists this ribosomal RNA (301 nucleotides) under uncultured bacterium. Its description in RNAcentral is "partial 16S ribosomal RNA". It matches the Rfam family "Bacterial small subunit ribosomal RNA", at positions 509 to 807 of the family's 1533-position model. The record is from RNAcentral.
CAGUCGCCACGGGAAUACGUAGGGUGCGAGCGUUAAUCGGAAUUACUGGGCGUAAAGCGUGCGCAGGCGGUUUUGUAAGACAGGCGUGAAAUCCCCGGGCUCAACCUGGGAAUGGCGCUUGUGACUGCAAAGCUAGAGUGCGGCAGAGGGGGAUGGAAUUCCGCGUGUAGCAGUGAAAUGCGUAGAUAUGCGGAGGAACACCGAUGGCGAAGGCAAUCCCCUGGGCCUGCACUGACGCUCAUGCACGAAAGCGUGGGGAGCAAACAGGAUUAGAUACCCGAGUAGUCCCUGUCUCUUAUAC